UAACCUCUGGUAUCUACGAAUGUUG
RNAcentral lists this non-coding RNA (25 nucleotides) under unclassified sequences. The record is from RNAcentral.